RNAcentral lists this ribosomal RNA (133 nucleotides) under uncultured bacterium. Its description in RNAcentral is "partial 16S ribosomal RNA". The record is from RNAcentral.
CGGAGUUAGCCGGGGUUUCUUUACUGGGUACCGUCAUUAUCUUCCCCAGCGAAAGAGUUUUACGAUCCUAAGACCUUCAUCACUCACGCGGCAUGGCUGGAUCAGGGUUUCCCCCAUUGUCCAAGAUUCCCCA